UGAAAAUCAAUAGGAUAUGUUUAAAGAAAUUGACAUUUUCCAAGUUAGAAAAACCUAUCUUGUUCUAACAUAUUUUGGAUAAUGUAUAAAUUCAUAUGUUGCUUAAUUUGUUUUAGUAUAAUGUAAUCUUCUAUAGAAAAAUAUAGAUAUUCUCACUUAUAAAGGAUAUGAAAUCCAUGCAUUAGGAUCCUUAUACUAUAAAUUUAACCUUACAAUAACGAGUUUAAAAAGAAAGAAAAUAGACAUUUUGUAUUACAUGUCAGAUACUCCUUCCUGUCCUAUUUUAUGUAACACCAUAUUGAUAUCAAUCUAUCAAAAAAAUAUGAGAUAUAUCUACAUUAUAAAAUAAUAAACAUAUAGAAUUUUUAUUUUAUCAUUAGUGAGAAGUAUUAUAGUAACACAAAUAUUAAAACAUAUUUAAAACAACAAGUUUUAGAAUUUUGUGUUCCAUUUAGAGUUAAAGUAAACAUGUCUUUGAAAGAUAAAAUAUAUGAGGUUCAAACAUCAACAUGUUUUGAUUAAGAAAAUGUUGUUUUUUAUUAUUAGAUUAAAUAGGAAAGAACGUCACUUGAAAUAGAAGAAAAAAAAUAUUCUUUUUUAUUUUCUAUGUUUUAGUUGAUAAUUGAAGUACAAAUAUAAGUAUAUAAAACCACAACAUAUAGAUAGAUUAGACAUGUAUAGACCUUUUUGAGAAGAUGAUAUUCGAAUAGACAAUAAUGAUUGUUUGAUCUGACCACAUCAAGAUAUUUGAUGAAAGAUUGUUUAAAUCUUCACCAUUUAGUCAUUAGGAUUUAUCAUUUCUUUUUUCUUCAUUUAACAUUAGUCUUUCUUGACCUUAUUAUUUGAUAAAAUUCAAAAUAAAUUUCCUACAUAAACACAACAUAAUUGAAGAUAUUAAUUAGUAUAUAACCUUUUAUUUCUGAAUUUAUAAUAAAAUAAUAUGAACAUAUAAUAUGCAUUCUGUUUUACUUAAAAAAAAUAAAAAUACUACUGUUUAUUGGUUUAAAUGAGAAAAAAUUGACUAGGUUUCGAAAAAUUAAUUAAUCUUAUUGUUUAAGAAAAACCGACCUUCAAAAUCGGAGUCGCCACUUGAUUUUUGAUAAAAUCAAGAAAAACUUCAAAAGAUUUAAAAACAGAUUAAAAAUCAAUUGAAAAGGGUUCGAAGUUCAAUGUACAUCUCGAGAAGGUGCUAGGCCCUCGGGAUGCCCGCUAACUUGCGGUUGACCGGCGAUUUGACUAAAUGACUUUUAAAAUAAAAUUUUUAACUAAGUAAAGAGAAAAUUCAUUUUGAUUUUUUUAUUUCAUUCUCUUUACUUUUUUUUUCUUAAGGAAAAUGUUUAGAGGGAAUUAAUUUAAGGAAAACUAAAUGGUAAUAAAAGUGAAUAAAAUAGUAAAAUUUAAAAUAAUGAAAAAUGGCUACUCUUUAGGAGAUUAUUAAAAUUCUACCAAAACACUAAUUAAUUAAAACAAAUAAUAAAUAAAGAGAGAAAAAUAUUUGAACUUGGGCUUGAUUGCCCAAAUCCAUCCAAUUGGACUUUGGCCCACCUGUCCUAAUCUAUUUACUUAGAUUUGGGCCCUUUAUUUAAAAAAAAACCUGCAAAAACAAAUGGUCAUUGGGCCUGUUAAUAAAAGGGGACUGAAGGGCCUUGGCCCAAUUUCCUAAAAAAGGAGACAUAAAGUAUACAAACGAUGUAUACUGUUGUAUAUGGUGUAUAUCACCAUCCAUUUUGGACCUUUUGAGCCCUGCACCUGUUUAAAUACAUAUUUUCAUUAUUUUUCCCUGUAUUGCCCUGCGUAUUUGUACCUGUAUAAUUUUUUUAAAACUUACUUAACAAGUGUAUAUCAUCACGCGAUAAUGUAUACUGAUGUAUACGGGCUGCAUUCUACGUCCGCAUUGUUUGCCUAAUUCCGAAUUUUAAUUAGAAUAGGCGUUCCUCUACGUUCCCCUACCAAUCAUAUUUUUUGAGCAUAUAUAUAGUAUAUCAUUCCUGUAUAUCUGUGUAUACAGGCUGUAUAUAAGCCUGUUUUUCAACUUUUGGAAGUUGAAAACUCCUUUCCAGAAACGUAAUCGCCCUGUCGUCAAUUCAGAUUUUGAGUUUGGGCCUCCUGUGGAUUUUUAACCUGUAUCACAGUGUAUAUAUUGUGUAUAAACCAGAUACACAGCUUCAAAACAAAAAUCGCAGCCAAAUGCCUGCAAUCCGCUACUUCCAGCAGCUCUCCAAUGGUUUUGCUUUCGACCUGUACAUCCUCUCAGGGGGUUGGCUGACUCGGAAAAAGUGUUUUGAGACUUUAUGGCUCAACGAGGAAUGCAAGAAUGGAAUCCAAAGUGGACUCGAAUCGAUGUCACACAAGAAAACAAAACAAAAAAAAAUAGUUAGCAAGGUGGAAUGACAACAUCUAAAAAAGAAGAAAGAAAAAAAAAGGAUUACCUUCUUCGGGGCAGCAAGCUAGAGACGAAACGAGCAAAGGGAUGACCUUCCACUACACAACUUCGAAUUCAAAUGAUAAUCAAAAACCCCGCAAUCCUUCUGUUUUUAAUUCAACUUCAAUAGAUAUAUAGGUGUGCUUAAACUAUUGUAAAAUCUUCCUAUGAAUAAACUCUUUCAAUAAUUCUUUUCUUUUCUAUCACAAGAUGUAAAAAAAAAAUUCUCUCCAAAAACCAUCCCUUUCUUUUUUUUCUUCUUCUUUUUCUUCUCUUUUUCUUUCUCCCUCUUUUCUUCUUUUCUCUCAACCAACCCCCUAACAAUAAAGAAGAUGGGGAUUAUUUAUAAGGCAAAUUAUGGCCAAAAGAGGGGGAAAUUUAUUUAAAAAUUGAAUUUUGAAUUUUUGAAUUUUGAAUUUUAAAAAGGGUAAGGUUGGAGGGAAAGGGAAAAAGGGAAUUGGGUUGGGAAUUAAUUAAAACGGAAUGGGCUAUGUAAUUGAUCCUGGGUGUCUGAAAAUAAAGUGGGCCUGGAAGGGAAUGAGGUGGGCUGGAAAUUUAUUAGGCUUGGGGUUUGGGAGAAGUGUUGGGUUGCUGAAGUGGGCCGGGAGAAGAAGAAAUACAAAUGGGCCUGGAAAUUAAAGGGAGUGUGUAAGUGGCCCAAGGCUAAGAUCUUUUGGUGGAUUUAAAGAAUGGGUUAAAUUUGAUAAAUAGCCAAAUUGAGUUAAGAUAAUAAAUUCGGCUAAACCUUAAAUAAAACGAAUUUGUAUUAAUUAAUCAACGAGCUUCUUUAAUUUAGUAAUAUAAUUAUUUAAAUUGUAAAAUAGUGGUUCAAAAUAUAACCAUAAUUUAAACUAUAUUAGCUAAAUAGAAUACUUACUAAAAUUAAAAAUAUUUUUUUGUUGGUUUUUUGAAUAAUCAUAAAAUAUACUAAUUAUAUACAUAAUUAUGUAAAAUAUAUGUAUUAUUCAAAAGUUAUAAGAAAUGACAAAACUAUUCAAAAUGACACAAACUUAAUUUUUUUUCUUAAAAAUUUAUAAAACUAAUUAUUUUAAAUUGCUUGGAAAAUUUAAGAAGCUCAUGAAUUAAUUUCUAUCGGAGAUGGUCAAAAUUGGGUGUCAACACAUUCGAAAAGAGUUUAUAAAUAAUCUUACAGAUUCUUUGAGAAAUAAAGAUUGUAACAUACGAAGAAUUGAUAGUUUGAGAUUCAUAGUAGCUAUAUUUGUUGAAUACCUUUAAUGAACUCCUCCAUUUUCUCUUUCUCUAAAUCCAAUUUUAUAUUAUAAAAUAAAGAAGAAUUUCAAAUUUUGAAAGUCACCAACCACAAGAAUUUUUUUUUCUCUUGGGCGAAUCAAGUAAUUUUACUUAUCGAACUUAAGUUUUUGUUUUAGAUUUUUUUGAGUGUACCAAAAAAAUAGAUUUACAACAUAUAUUUGGACAAUAGCCAAAAAUAAUGAAUAAUUAUUUGGGGCCAAUCAUAAAAGAUAACAAUAAAUUAGUGUUUUUAUAAGAAAAAAACAUGAAUUAGCUAGGAUAUUUGUUAUUAAAAAUAUAUAUAGUUACUAGUAUUGUUGUAACAAUUUUUCCCUAAAUAUUGUUACAAUGCAGUUUUGAUAUAUAGUGAUACUGGUUCUCUUUUUCUUGUAAUAGUAAAAUAGAAAAAAGAACAUUUAUUUGAAAAACUAAAAUAAAAAUUAGUGCAUAAUGUAUCAAUUAGUGAUACUCUAUUUGUUUUCCAACACCUAAUUAGUUUAGAAAAUAUAACAUAUCUUUGGAUAUAUUUUGUAUCUACAAAAUUCUUUUUUUAUAAAAAUCAUCAUAAAAAUUUAGAUAAAACAAAACAUUAGUGAAAAGUCACAAUUCUUUAAACAUCAUAAGUAAAGAAAAAUUAAAAAAGAAAAGAAGAGCGAUUUAUUAAAAAGAUGGAGUAUCCCUUAGUUUGACUUGCUAUGUCUAAUAAUCUCAAUGUUUUUUUAAGUUUAUAUAUGUCAUCAUCUUCUUCAUGAAUAAAAUUUGUUUGCUCUAGACACUUAAACAUCUUUUAAACUUUGAUGCUUAACCUGACAUUCUGCAUAUGAAAAUUUAAGAAUACAUCGACGUAAAUCAGAAAUUGAAUUUGAGAAUUUGGCAGCCAUCUAACCCAUGAAGUUGCACUUAACAUGACAACCCCAUAUCUUCUUCAACAUUCUCCGUUUUUAAAGAAAAUUUUUGAGUGAUUUUUAGAGGAACUAAAUUUAUUGGUGAAUUGUCGUCAAAUUUUUUCUUCUUAAAGUAGGCAUAUCUUGCAUUAAGGAAUAGUUGUUAGAUUGGUAAAAAUAGUAUUUUGAUUGAAUAGGAAUUUAAUAAAUCAUGCUUAGCUAAUGCAACUGUGGUAAAACGAAAUAAGUGUUUUUGUUAAUUGUCAUUUUCUUAUGAAAGUCAUGGUAUAUAAAUUGUAUUCACUUUUUUAAAAUAACAUUUGUUUUUACGAUAUUAGUGUUUUUUAAUGAAAUUUUUCAUUUUUCCCAAGUUAAAUUUGAAAAAUUUACUCAAAAAUAUUGUGAAUAAUUGACAACUAACAUAUUCCAAUAUUUCAGUGUAUAGUCUAAAUCAUUGACCAAUGAUUGACAUGAGAGUCAUUCUAUAUUUUAUCUAAUUCUCAAAAAUUCAAGUCUAAGGUUAAGUCAUGAUUUUUUAAAUCGCUACACCCUUAGUAGUUUUCAUAUAAUCUUAUCCACUCAAUAUUUAAGUACCUAUUCCAAUAUAUCAAACUUGGGUCUUAAUAUGAUAAUUAUAAGAAAAGUCUACGAAUAAGUCGAAUGUUUAAAAAUACGGCACCUAAUUUAUAAAUGAACAUAAUUGAAAAGACUAUGAAUUUUCAUCAUUAUUUUAUUCUAAGUGACCAUCCUACAAUAAUAUCUCACCCAAAAACUUUUUCUAGUUAUCAACUAUAAGUCAAACAUUUUUAUACUUACAUUUUUUCUUAUACACGAAGUCAACAAUAUGAAUAGCUACUAAUUUAUACGACUGCACAACCAAGAUCGUACAUGAGAAGUCAGAGCCGCCUCUGUUUGCUGCAUGGCAUAAGUUUUCUCCCCUCAAACCCUUAAUCUUUCUACAGAAUAUUGACUCCCAAACUAUUAUAUAAGACUAAUUAUAAACUGGUAAAAGUAAAUCAUUAUUAAUUUUAAAGUUCUCUUCUUUAACAAUCAACUAACUCAAUAAUAAAAACUAUCCCACUAUUUUCAUACUUAUAAUUACGAAUAUUCCAAAUAUCCCUAAAUCUAUCAGAAAAUAUUUUCUGAAACUAAAAGCUUUAACUUUUGAAACAACCAAAAAAAAGUUGUUACAAUAGAUUCCAAUUUACCCAUCGUUUGUCCUCCAACGAUCACAGGAAGACAAGGGAAGAAGCGUAUCUUAAGAGACAAAAAGGUGCGGAUAUCAUUCAUGCAUAUCCGUCUCACCCUCAAAGUGGACUCUUCAACUGACCGAUUCUUCCACUGAACCUUGAUAGAUGCAAUCUCUUUUGACCCCAAUUUGCGGAUCUCCCUAUCUAGAAGAGCAACAGGCUCCUCUUCAUAAGAUAGAUUCUCAUCAAGCAGAACUGAAUCCCAAUUAAUAAUGUAGUUUCCAUCACCAUGGUAUUUUUUUCAGCAUACACCUAUGAAAUACUCGGUUCACUCCUGACAACCAUAGAGGUUAGGAAAUAUUAAGAUACCUCCCCGACGUGCUUCAAAACUUCAAAUGGAGAGAUAUAUCUCGGACUAAGCCUACCACUCUUGCAAAACCGCCUUACACUCUUCAAGGGUGGAUACCUUUAGUUAGAAUUGUGCACUAUCCACAAACUCCAAGUCUCUAACCUUCCGAUCUGCAUACUCCUUCUGUCUACUCUGAGCUGCUAAGAGCUUCUCAGGAAUGCAUUUCACUUUCUCUAAUGGUUGUCUAAAAAGAUCGGUACCCCUUGGUCUCAGCUCAAAUACAUCAAACCAACCAAUAGGAGACCUACAUAUCUUCUCAUGCAAUGCUUCAAAUGGGGACAUAUCAAUACUCGGGUGAUAAAUAUUGUUGUAAGAAAACUAUACAAAGGGUCAUAAUUGAUCCCAAUGUCCACGAAAAUCUAUCACGCACGCACGAUGCAUAUCUCUAGUACUUGAAUUGUUCGGUCAAACUGACCAUCACUCUGAGGGUGAAAUGCAGUACUAAGCCAGUCUAGUACCUCAUUCAGCAUGUAAGGUCCUCCAAAACUUAGAAGUAAAUUGCGUUCCUCUAUCUGAUAUGAUGUAAAGUUGAACUCUAUGCAAAUGAACAAUAUCAGACAUAUAGAGUUUUGCUAAUUUUUCUGCAUUGUAUGUUAUCCUGACCGGAAAAAAGUUGCAGUCUUAGUUAACCUGUAAAUAAUUAUCCAAAUAGAAUCAAAGUUACCCAUUGUCUUAAGAAGACCAACCACAAAAUCGAUUGAAAUUCUUUUCCACAUCUAUUUAGGAAUGGGUAUUCUCUAAAGUGUCCCUCCAAGCCUUUGAUGUUCAUAGUUUACCUGCUGAAAAUUCGAACAUUGUGCAACAAAAUUAGCAAUGUCACACUUCAUUCUAGUCCAUUAGUAAUGUUUUUUAAGAUCACGAUGCGUCUUGUUUGCACCAGGAUGUAUAGAAUACCUUGAACUUUGUGCCUCUGCAGGAAUAGUAUGAACAUGAUCAUCCAAAUGGGGCACACAUACUCUCCCCUUAAUUGUCAAGUCAUCUUCCUAAUUAUUCACAUCCUCUUUAGCCUCUCCAGAUAAUACCAUAUCUCGAAUUAGGCUUAGUUUUUUCAUCAACAAAAUGUUUUCCAUUAAUCUUGUCAUGAAAAGAAGAUAUUGCCUCCACACAUGCCAAAAAUCCUCCUUUAUCAUGAAUUUCUAGCCUCAUAGAGUCAUUAGCCAGAAUCUGAACCUCUCUAGCAAAUGUGCAUCUAGAAACCUGUAAGUGGCUAAACUACUCAUGCUCCCUGCUUUUCUACUUAAGGCAUCUGCCACAAUAAUAGAUUUUCUAGGGUGAUAUGAAAUAGUAAUAUCAUAGUCUUUGAAUAACUCUACCCACCUCCUCAUCCUCAAAUUCAAAUAUUUUUGAGUAAAAACAUAUUGUAAAGUACGAUGUUCUGUAUAAAAUUCACACUUGACCACAUUUUGAAAAUGCCUCCGUUGCUUCAAUGCAAAUACAACUGCAACCAACUCCAAAUCAUGGGUCGGAUAGUUAUCUUCAUGCACUUUCAUUUGCCUCAAAGUAUAAGCAAUUACAUUCCUGUUCUGCAUUAGCACCGAGCCCAAGUUAAAAUAAGAUGCAUCACAAUAAACAUUAAUAUUCUUACCAUCCAUUGGCACGACAAGAAUCAGUGUAGUAAUCAACAAGGUCUUGAGUUUCAGAAUGACGACCUUUACCAUGACCACCUCUACCUCUAACUACUGAGGAUUUUUAACUCUGCCUUGGACAAUAUUUGCUAAUACGUCUAGGCUCUCCACAUUCAUAACAAGUCCUAGAGUAAAAUGUAGGUCUCUGUGAAGAGGAAGAAGUGUGAAGAUAACCUCAAAACUCAGAAAAAUGUUGAUAGGUCUUCAACAGACCCUCAACUAAAGCCUGCAAUAAUGACUGUACAGGACGGGAUGGAUAACCCCCAACUCUGCCUUUGGAGUAAUAACUACUAAACUCACUUCCCUUACGAAACUUCUUUAAUGUCGAUGCCUUGGUGAAGUCAUAUGGCUUUACCCCUUUUACCUGUAUAAUAAAAUCAACCACUUCUUGAAAAGAUUUUGUUUUACCAGCUAUCUGUAAGGCUAGAAUCUGAAAAUCUGACCUCAAUCCUUUCACAAAGCAACGAAUACGCUCUUGUGACUGAAGAAAAUCUCAGUGGCUUACAUGGAUAGUGCACGAAAUUUGGCCUCAUAAUCAACAAAAUUCAUCUUUUCUUUCUCUAGGCUGAGGAACUCAUCUCCUCUCCUAUUCCUCAAUGUUCGGGGUAUAUACUUCUCCAUAAAUAAGCUAGAAAAUGAUGCCCAAGUCAUAGGUGCUGCCUUCACUCGUCGACACUCAACAUAAGACCGGUACCAUAUUUUGUCAUCCCCCUGAAACUUGUAGGUCACAAACUCAACACUGAAUCAUACACCUAUGUCGAUCUUAUGUAUCACCUCAGGAAAAUAAACCAAGAAAUCAUAGGCAUCUUCAGAUCACCACCCUUGAAGACGGGAGGUUUUAACUUUAUGAACUUAACGAAAAGUUCAUGAUGGUCACCUGUUAUUAUAGACAUGUAGUCAAUCGAGGAAACAUUCUUAUUUCCAAGGAUGCAUCUAUGCGGGAGUCAUAACAGUUGUAUGUUGUACUUUAUGAACCUGAGGUGUUGGUAUAGAAAACAGUGGGUGUCUAGCCCUCAUUAGAUAAGCCGCUAAGAUAGGUGAGAACCUUAUUAAUCAUCUCCAGAGUAGGCUUGGGUGGUUCUUCCUUCUCUUGAAUCUUCUCAUCUUCCCCUUCUUCACCCUCUCUCACUACCUAAUAAGUUGGUGGAUGAGUCACCGCUCUAUCCCUAAUUAGAGCGGUGUUUAUCCUCAGCCUCUAGUUGGCCUCCUCCCGCAACCUCAACCACGACCUCUUGCCACUGCUCCUCCUCGAGUUAACGCCCCAGUGUUUGGCUUAGACGCACCAUGGCUUACCGGUGUUAGUGUUGUCACAGUUGUUGCUCUAGCUCUAACUAUCUGCGUCAUAGAUUGAGAAGGACAUAUUCGAUUUGUAUCACCUAGAUACCAAUUGAAUCCAAGUUAUAGCACGAAAAAAGAUGUGUUUUUCGAAAGUUAUAUAGCCUCGAAAAAAAGUAAUGGCAUCCCUGUACUGUUUCGCAUGACUCUACUAUACAUGUACUUGUGUUUUGGGAUCAUCUCACCUAAUGAUCUAACACAAAGUUUGUCAUGACCCAAAACAAGUCCUGAGUGACACCCAUACUUAGCCUCCUAGGUGGGCCAACAUCUACCAACAAUUCAACUAUGAAAAACAAAAAUUAUACGGAAGCUCCAAAACAUAUUAAUGUAUUAUUUUCAAAAAUCAUAAACUCAUAUAAUUAAGGACAUCUAAUCUCCAAAUAUUAAGUCUAAAAAUAUUGAAAAUACCGAAAUAAGUAAAUCAAUGAUCCAUGUACGAAAUUUAAGGACAUCAUGAUAUAAAUGAGAGAAUCUAGCACGAGCUAGAAAUAAUAGCUCACCUUGAACUAUGAUCUAUUGGAGACUUGCUAGAGCUGUGGGCGAAUCGAAGUCGACGGUAUACUUGUUGCACUCCACAAAAGAACAACAAAGAAAAUAGAAGUAGGGGUAUCAUCGUCCAACCCAAAAUAGAAACCAAUAUAUAUUGAAUAAUUAUGUAAGAUCAACUACAAUACUUGGAAGGUGGAAAGCAACAAACAACACCAACUAGUGAAAACAACAACAUAAUAGGUACAAAAUUAAUCAUAAUAUCAAUCACACCUAUGAAGACAAACAACAUCAUAGUAGGUACAAAAUUAAUCACAAUAUCAAUCACACCCACGAAGACUCAUGCCUCCACACCAUAUUCAUUUGGAAAAUGGGUUCUUAGAGAUUGAAUAUAUUACGUUAAUUCUAUAUUUACUUUUAUUUAAUUUUAUCGUGUCGGAACGUGACACUCAGAUACCAUAUACCGUGUCGGAACGUGACACUCCGAUCCCAUAAUACCGUGUUAUAAUAUGACACUCCGAUCAAAUAAUAUCGUAUCAGAACAUGACACUCCAAUCCAAUUAUCUCAUUUAUUUAUUUCAUCAAGCCUCCUUUAUUUUUUUUCAAGGCUUUAUUUUACUAGAGUGUGUUCAAGAUUAUAAAUUCAACAUGCUCAGAAUUUUAGGUCAACCACAAAUCAUACAACCAAGAUAUAGAAUCACACAAUCAAGUUCAUACCUCAACAUAAAAAUUGAAGCCUGGCAAACUACUUAUCUAAUGUUUUUCCUUCCUCAAUGCCUCCUAAACAUUCCAAUCUGUCAAGUAUAUAUGCAUAAUUUGUAAGCUAGCAAAUCUAUAAAACUCAAUAUAUUGUAUAUUUAGCCUAAACAAAGAAAAACUCACAUUAUUCUAUAAUCAAUUUUCUAAAGAUCAAACUGAAGGAUAAGUCUAGAUUCCUCCAAUUAGCAUAACAUAAAUAGAAUUUAAAUAAUUUGAUUCAUCUAAUACUUAAUUACCUAUUUCAGAACAUAAAAGCUUAAACUAUAAUGUGAUAACUAAAUAAUUUACCUAAGGACGAACAUUUGUGAAAUACUCUGAAUAAUUGAAAACUAACAUAUUCCAAUGUUUCACUGUAUAGUCUAAAUCAUUGUCCAAUGAUAGGGUAAUCAUUGUCCAAUGAUUGACACGAGAGUCAUUCUAUUUUUCAACUAAUUCUCUAAAUUCAUGUCUAAGGUUAAGACAUAGUGUUUCCAAACACUACAUUCUUAAUAGCUUCCAUAUAAUAUAAUCCACUUAAUAUUUAAUUACCUAUCCCAAUAUAUAAACCUUGGGUCUUAAUAUGAUAAUUAUAAGAAAAGUCUACAAAUAAGUAGAUUGUUUAAAACAGUAAGAAUAAUUUAUAAGUGAACAGAAUUGAAAAAAAUAAUCUAAGACUCAUUCUAUAUGUCCAUAUAAAAAUGUUCAAUGAAUUUUUAUCAUUAUUUUAUCAUAAAUGACCAUCAUAAUAUAAUGUCUCACCGAAAAGCUUUUUCUAAUUAUAAAAUAUAAGUCAAACCAAUUGUUAUACUUGCAUUUUUGUCUUGUACCAAUACAAGAAGUCAACAAUAUGAAUGUCUACUAAUAUAUAAUACUACACAAAAAAUAGAUUUAAAACAUAAAUUUGGACAAUAGCCGGAAUUAAUGAAUAAUUAUUUGGGCCAAUUAUAAAAGCUAACAAAAAAAGUGAUUUUAUAAGAAAAAACAUGAAUUAGCUAGGAUAUUUGUUUUUAAAUACAUUUAUCGUUAAUAGGGAUACUGGUCCUUUUUUUCUGGUAAUAGUAAAAUGGAAUAAAAACAUUUAUUUGAAAAACUAAAAUAAAAAUUAAGGUGUAUUGUACCAAUUAGUGAUACUUUAUUUGUGUUUCAACACCUAAUUACUUUAGAAAAUAUAAAAUAUCUUUGGAUAUAUUUUGUAUCUACAAAUUCUCUUUUUAUAAUAAUCAUCAUAUAAAUUUAGAUUAAAAAAAACAUUAGUGAAAACUCACAAUUCUUUAAACAUCAUAAGUAAAGAAAAAUUAAAAAGGAAAAAAAGUGGGAUUUAUGAAAGAGAUGGAGUAUCCCUCAAUUUGACUUUCUAUGUCUAAUAAUCUCUUUGUCUUUGUAAGUUUAUAUGUCAUCAUCUUCUUCAUUAAUAAGCUUGUUUGAUGUAGACACUUAUAACACCUUUUAAUCUUUGAUACUUAACAUGACAUUCUACAUAUGAAAAUUGAAGAAUAUAUCGACGUAAAUCAGAUAUUGAAUUUGAUAAUUUGGCAGCCAUCUAACCCAUGACGUCGCACUACAAAUGACAACACCAUAUCUUCUUCAACUUUCUCCAUUAUUAAAGAAAAAUUUUCAGUGGUUUCUAGAGGAACUAAGUUAAUUGGUGAAUUGUCAUCAAUUCUUUUCUUCUUAAGUAGGAAUAUCUUGCAUUAAUGAAUAAUUGUUAUAUUGGUAAAAAUCUUAUUUUUAUUUAAUAUGUAUUGAAUGAAUUGAUACACUCAUACUUACUUCUCAAAUAAGAAGUAAAGAGGUCGUGUCAAGUAAAUAACCCUACUAGUGAGAUUGGGAUCGUUCCCACUAGGAAAAUAGUUUAGACUUAACUUUAACCUAUUAUUACUAUUGAUCGGUCAAUUACUUCCUUGGAAAGCAAAAAUAAUAAAAGGGGAGUUUCUAUUUCUAAAUUAAUGAAAAUAACUAAUGAAAUUGAAAGAGACACUUAACAGCUUUGAAUGUUAGAGUUUAAUCAAUUAAUAAAAGUAACUAGGGUUUACGUGUUCCCCACGGGUUCAUAACUUGAUAAUUCUAACUAUAACAAUUCCUUCCUAGUAUAUUGCAUGUAAAGUGAUAAGUUAUGUAUUUCUAAAUCGUUGGUCCAGCAUCUAGAAAAUCUCCCUCCGCACCUUGGUCCGGCUACAUGUGUUGCUAUCCUAACCAUUAUAUUAAGCAUCAUAUUCGAUAUUUGACUACGUUAUUACCUCGUAUCAAUCAAUACUAGCCUAUUAAAUAGUAUACACUAAAUCUAUGUUGAUAAUUCUUUUCCUAUUAUCCACCUCCUUCGUUCAGCAAGUAGAACUAAGUCGAGUUCUAAUGUUGGCCAUCCGUUAAAAAGACUUUUAAGCGAAUGAAUUAUUAAUACAUGCAAGACACUAUUCUAGAAUUGUUAUUUUAGUUAGGUUUUAUCUCAUUAUUUGCCUAUGGUUCCCAAAACCCUAGUUAUGAAGUUUAGUUACCCAUAGUCAUAAUCACAAUAUUCAAAUAUAUUAUAUAAGAAUUCAUGUACUUACUUCAAUGAAAAAGAGUAAAAUCCGAAAGUUUGCUUGAUUAAUCACCAAAAACCACCAAUAAUCACUUGCAAGAAUCUCAAAGUAAUCAAUAAUCUCACAAAAAGUCUAAUCAUAAUCAAAAGGUGUCUAACAAUACGGAGUCUAAUAAUGAUCAAGAGUGUAACCUCAAAAAUGAGGUUUUUCUAACUAUUUAUGGAAAAUAAUAACGUAAUUAAACAAUUACUCUAAUUGUUGGAAAUCUGUCCAAACGCGGCUGGGUCGACGGAUCUCUCGACGGAUCGUCGUGGUCACGACGGACCGUCAUGAACUCCGUCGUCUAAUACUUGUGCACUUUCUUCUACUUCUCUCUUCAUACCCUCGAAGUCAAGUAUGACGGACCUUCAUAAACAUGACGGUCCGUCGAGGGUCUUCGUUCUAAAAUACCUCAACUCUUGGAAUAUGAGUACUGAGAUUACUUCUCUUAACUUAAUGACGAACCUACAGGACGGACCGUCAUAGACACGACAGGCCGUCAUGGACUCCGUAACCCCACACUUGGUCAGACUUCCCCAUCUUUCUUCAGCAGCGCACUACGCUGCCACCUACGGACCGUCACAAGCACGAUGGACCGUCACAAGCUCCGUAGGUGGUCUGUUCUACAUUUCUUCGUUCAAAAUCUCUGCAUUCAUCUUUGGACAGAUUUCCUUCAAAUAAAGAGAAACUUAUAUAAAAAUUAGCACAAAAAGGUUUUUGGACGCACUAGACUUUAAGGAAAAAGUAUUAAUAAUACUGUGAAACCACGGUAUAUCAACACCCUCAACUUAAAUUCGUUGUUUGACCUCAAGCGACACACUAUGACUCAAUACACCAUUUUGUUCAAUAGUAUCCAUGUUUUAUCUUUUUAAUCAUUUGGCUAUCAAUCCCGAUUAAUCUCAUCAUAUCUAUGCAUGCUAUCACUAUUAGGCUAGAAUUAUGUGGGAUCAGAACAUGACACAGACUCACCAUGCACUAACACCUAUCCUCUUCAAUUUUUCACCGAGGUGCUAACAAUUCCGGUAUUGCAACUAGUGUCCUCACUCUAAAAUAAAAUACUCAUUUUUCAGACAAUGAUUUCAGUUUGAGUAUAAGGAUUACUUUUCAACACUCGCUCUAAGAACAGAGUCACACUCAUUCUUACCUAUUGCCAUAAGCUUGACCUUAUUUUCACUGCCUGAAGUUCGCUAUACAACCCUUAGGAUCACGAUAAAACUUUCUUAGGUUGUAACAUAGGCUCAGGGUCACGUAGGUAUAUUUAGGUAUACUUUAGUGACUUUUUUCCCUCCUUGACAUAUCGGUGAAACAUACCAUUUUUUAUCAUUUCAUCUCGCCCAGUUUUUCAUAUUCUUUCACCCUUCUAUUUUCUCUUCUUUCUUCAUUUGUGUAAGCGACUCUCUUCUUUUCUUGCUUGUAUUUCUUGUAUAUUUUCUUUUUCUUUACUUUUCUUUCAACUAAUUCUUGAGUCACUUUACUUUUUUUCUUUCUCUAUCUUUGUUCUUUCAACGCCACUUUCCAAAGCAUUCCUCAUAAUAGCCACCCUCAACUCAUGGCUUUGCCAUGAGUCAAGGUACACAAUACCCAAAGUUGGGUCAGGUUCAUAAAAAAGGUUAUUUACUGCACUAGCCACCCUCAACUUAUACUUUUGGCAUAAGAUGAGGUGCACAUGUCCAAGGAAGGACAAGAGCCAACACAUUAUUCCCACAAAAGAUCAGUUGGACUGAAAAAGAAAGGUCUAAUUUAAGCUCAGAUCAUUUGGAUCAAAGAAGGAUAAAUUUCAUUUGGUUUUCAUUUUAUUUACGCUAAAAAUGGGCUACAUUAAAUAAGGGCCUAUGAUCCUUUCCUAAUUGUCUAUUAUAGCUUACUUUUAACAGGACUAACCAGGCAAGUUCUAGAUCAGUACAAAUAGUGGACUAUUCAAAUCUUCCUAACAUCAAUUGAUAUUCAAAUCCCCGGCAACGGCACCAAAAUUUGAUACGCUCAAACUUACUUCUCAAAUAUGAAGUAAAGCGGUCGUGUCAAGUUAAUAACCCAACUAGUGAAGUUGGGAUAAUUCCCAUGAGGAAAAUAGUUUAGACUUAACUUUAACCUAUUAUUACUAUUGAUCGGUCAAUUACUUCUUUAGAAAGCAAAAAUAAUAAAAGGGGGAGUUUUCUAUUUCUAAAUGAAUGAAAAUAACUAAUGAAAUUGAAAGAGACACUUAACAUCUUUGAAUGUUGGAGUUAAUCAAUUAAUCAAAGUAACUAGGGUUUACGUGUUCCCUACAGGUUCAUAACUUGCUAAUUCUAACUAUAAAAAUUCUUUCCUAGUAUCUUUCAUGCAAAAUGAUAAGUUAUGUAUUUCUAAAUCCUUGGUCCGGUAUCUAGAAAAUCUCACUCCAGGUGUGUUGUUAUCCUAACCGUUAUCUUUACCUCAUAUUGAGCAUCGUAUUCGAUAUUUGACUAAGUUAUUACCUCGUACCAAUAAAUACUAGCCUAUUAGAUUGUAUAAACUAAUUCUAUGUUGAUAAUUCUUUUUCUAAUAUCCACCUCCUUGGUCCAGCAAGUAGCAUUAAGGCGAGUUCUAACGUUGGUCAUCCGUUACAAAGACUUCUAAGCGAAAGAAUUAUUAAUACAUGCAAGACACUAUUCUAGAAUUGUUUUUUAGUUAGGUUUUAUCUCAUUAUUUGCCUAUGGUUCCCACAACCCUAGUUAUGGAGUUUAGUUACCCAUAGUCAUAAUCACAAUAUUCAAAUAUAUUAUAUAAGAAUUCAUGUACUUACUUCAAUGAGAAAGAGUAAAAUCCGAAAGUUUGCUUUAUUACCAAAAAAACCAAUAAUCACUUGCAAGAAUUUCAAAGUAAUCAAUUAUCUCACAAAAAAUCUAAUGAUAAUGAAAAAGUGUCUAACAAUACGGAGUCUAAUAAUGAACUAGAGUCUAACCUCAAAAACUAGGUUUUUCAAACUAUUUAUAGAAAAUAAAAACCUAAUUAAAACAAGGACUCUAUUUGCUAGAAAUCUGUCAAAACGCGGCUGGGUCGACAGACCUUGCGACGGAUUGUCAUGGUCACGACGGACCGUCAUGGAAUCUGUCUUCACAUACUUGUGAAAUUUCUUCUGCUGCUCUCUUCAUACCCUCGACGGAAAGUAUGACGGACCGUCAUAACGGUUCGCCGAGGGUCUUCGUUACAAAAUACUUCAACUCUUGGAAUAUGAGUACUAGGAUUACUUCUCUGAACUUUAUGAUGAACCUACAGGACGGACCGUUAUAGACACGAUGGGCCGUCAUGGACUCUUUAACCCCACACUUAUUCAGACUUCCCCAUCUUCCUUCAGCAUCUGCACUACGCUGCCACCUACGGACCGUCACAAGCACGACGGACCAUCACAAGCUCCGUAGGUGGUCUCUUCUGCAUUUCUUCGCUCAACAUCUCUGCAUUCAUCUUUUGACAGAUUUCCUACAAAUAAGAGAAACUUAUAUAAAAAAUUAGCACAAAAAGGAUUUUGGACACACUAGACUUUAAGGAAAAAAUAUUAAUAAUACCGUGAAAUCACAGUAUAUCAUCAAUCAAGAUCAACUAAUUCAAGUGUGGUAAAAAUAAAUAAAUGUUUUUAUUCAUUGUCAUUUUCUUAUAAAAGUCAUGGUAUAUAAAUUGUAUUCACUUUCUUAAAAUAACAUUGUUUUUACGAUAUUAGUGUUUUGUUAUGCAAUUUUUCAUUUUUCCCAAGUUAAAUUUGGAAAAUUUCUCAAUUUUAAAAAAAGAACUUUCGAUUUAUUUAUUUUAUAUAUAAAACAGAAAUGAAGCAACAAAUUCAGUAAACAUUAUUGAUGUUGGCCUCCUGCUAUAAGUUUUGAGAAAACACUAUUGAUGAACAUUUCUAAGGAAACAUGUUACUUGCACAACCAAUUCCUAAUAUUAAUACAAACCCUUGUCUUAUACUAUCUAUGUAGAAUCAAGGAACUGACGUAAUUCUAGGGACCUAAUUGAUGAAAGGAACCCAGUAAUGAAAUCCCAAAUUCUUCGUGAAAAAAUCUAAUGAGAAGUCCUUUGAAUUAUGGGGCUAAAACAUAAAGUAUACUAUUUCUUGUUCUUGAAAGAAACUGAUGCCUCGUUCUCUUUCUAUUAGUAAAACGACUUAUCUUAGACAUCAAAGGAUGUAGCUUAAUUGCCUUAUUGAAUAAGGACACGACAAAAAAAAACCUUGACAUAAAAGCUGAUGAAGUCCAUUAACUACAAUAAUCAUGCGCCAUUGUUUGAACUCUCGGCUGUCACACGAGGUCAUGGUUUUAUAUCACACGGUUUAUGUCUCGGUUAAUAGUAUCCCUAAUGUAUGACUGUUAGUAUAUUGGACUAGGUUUUCAGCAGUUAUAUCAGUGUAUUGUUCAUCAUGUUCUCUUCAUGAUUAGUACUUUGUAACUUCAUUCAGUUGAACUAUUUUAUAUGUUUCGGUAUUUAUAUUCUUGCUCAGAUUAUGUAAUUGCUCAAUUACAAUUUGUUCUGCUCAUAUAUAUUUUCAUGUUAGUAUCUAUAUCCUGCAUGUUCAAUGCAUUUAAAGUACUUUCUCAUACUCUUUUAUACAUCCUUUUAUGAUAUAUGUUUAGAUACUUAGCAUCCAUAUCACGCUUAAAAUCAAUUCUCCAUUCACAUUCAACAACUUCAAAGGUGAGUCAUCAAAUUUCAAGGACAAUAGACAUGCUUUCAUUUUUGUCAUUAUUUUUAGUUUCAGUUUUAUCAGAGUUAGUUGGGCGCAUGUCCCAUCACCUCAGCUCAUUUAGAGCUUUUCAAACAUAGUAGUAGAUUCAGUUUGAGUUGUUAAGUGGUUGUUGCAGUUAUCACAAACCCUAGUUUAUUUCACUUAUUUUUAGUGCUUUUAGGUUUUUCCUAAUUUCCAGGUAUCCUUCAUUGUAGUUUCUGCACAGUACAGGUUUUACUUAAUUAUUUUAGUAUUUUCAUGAUAUGCCAGAUUAGGCGUUAGCUUUGGGACACUCAUGAUCGUAGGUCCCAUGUUAUGUCUAGGGGUAGCCUCGAGGUUUGAAAAUUGGUGUCCACUUUUGGGAAUUGUAUUUUUUCACUGUACAUAGGUCCUGACAACAAGGUUUUAGAAUGGUUUCUAUUGUAUGUUGUUUUUUAUGUUUUACCUCGCUUCUGUCUAUUUCUUUUAUUACUACUAUUAACUUUAGUUCUACCCGUGUACUAACUACAUUAGCUUCUCGGUACGGGUUGUAUUACACAGUAGUUAUUAUAGUAGAUGCCAUCAGACUCAAAAAGUAAGGUCAUGGAAGGACAUUUGUUGAGCAAGUAGACAACAUGUUGACCAAAAGGGAGAUAUGUGAUGUCUCGAAGUGUUACUUUUUUAGAAACUAUGGUUAAGGAAUUAUUGAAAGGAUAACGUAAAUUUUCUAUAUCAAUUAUAAUAUGAGCCAAUUUUUAUAAAAUAAAAAAUUUUGGUCAAUUUUUAUAGCAUUGGUGAUUCAAUUGUUUUUCGCAAUAAUCUGUUCAAGAAUUCAAAUGGUAAAAAAUUCAUCUUGUGUUCUGUCAAAUUAAUAGAGUAACAUAACAUAACAUAUUAAAGAUAAUUUAAAAGUCAAAAUAUUGGUUAUAUAUAAAAUCUUUUUCAAGAAUAUAUGGUGCAAACUAUAUGUAUAGAAAUUAGUGUAUUAUGAACUCAUGAAUUUCAAAAUAUUAAAUGUUUAUUGGAAAAUAUAUUUUUAAAGUUUUAAUUGAUUUUAUAACCUCAAAAGCUAAAUUAUUUUUUAAAAGAGAUAAAACAUAUUGUAUAAGAAAUUAUAUUAAGCUUUACUUAAUAAUUUGAAUCCUACAAAAACUUUUCCUACUAAAUUAAAUUCUUGAUCUAUCAGUUAUGAAUUGGAUACUAAUUUAAUUUAUUCAUAUGGUGAGAUUUCUAUAAGAAACUUCUAUCCGAAAAUUGUCAUGACGUUGAUAUAAAUAUAGAAAAAGCAUGCAUAUGACUUUGAACUUAUUCAAUGUUAUAGAUACUAUUCGGUUUAAUAAAUUUUAGAAACAUAUUUUUGUAGUUUUUCCCUUGUACUCAUAUUGUUCACCAUUAUUAGUUUGAAAUGGAAAUAAAAAUUAAUUGUAGGCGUUAGAGAUCUUUAUCGUUUUAACACAAAAAGUGAUUUUUAUCAUGGUCGUUUAUAUGUUGUAAAGUUAAAGUGAAUUUUAAAUAGAAUCAACUCUUUUGUACGUUGGUAUAAUCAGAAGCGUAAGAAAAAAGGAACAGUGAAGUGGUUUAGUGACCAAAAAGGGUUUAGUUUGAUCUGCAUUAUUGUGUUGAUGAGCUUUUUGUUCAUCAAUCUAUGAUAGGAUCUAGACUUUUGUAGUUUAACUGACGAUGAAGAGGCUGAACCGAUGUAGAAUCUGGGAAUGAUGGCCAUACAAAGGCUGUGAAUGUUGCCGGCUCAAAUGGUGCUCUUUUCAAAAGAGGAUCCCGUGAUCUCAGAGGUGGUGAAAGUGAUUCAUAUAGUGGUUGUGGUUAAUAUAUAUUUUUGGAUGGGAAAUAUUUUGCUGGAGAAGGUUGUUGGAGUGGCAUCAUGUGGUAUGGAGGUGAUGGGUUAUAUGGCGGAGGUGUUUGGAGGUAUGGUGAAGAUGGUGAUGGGUAUAGUGGUGGUAGAGGAGGAAGUGGGUGUUACAAGUGUGGAGAAGAUUGUCAUUUUACAAGGGAGUGUAGCCACAAUUGUUAAUAUGGUAGGGGUCUGGUGGUGGGAGAUAUGGUUGCACGACAAUGGAGACAGAGGUGGUGGGAGAUAUGGGUGCACGACAAUGGAGACAGAGGUGGUGGGAAUGAUAUUUACAUAAAGGAUGUCAAUGUUACCAACCCUUGUUCCCCUUACUUGUAACAACCACCACCACCACCACCUAGACCUCCUUCGUCGUUCAACCAUAUUAAUCACCACCAGUGCUUCCCCAUCCAUAACCUUGACUAUAUUUCCUUGAAAAUAACCAAUAUACUCGCACCUGUAAUACCCACUUCCUCCUCUACCAUAUCCACCUCCAUCAUGCCUCCCACCACUAUCGCCAUAUUAACCUUCACCUCCAUAAUGCUUGCUACUGCCCUAACCAGCUUUAUUACCACCAUAUAUCCUACCUCAGGAUCAAUAUCCACAACUACCACCAUAUAAAUCACCCCCACCACCUCCACAAUACCGUGGUUUUCCUUUGAAAUAAGCAACAUCUAGACCGAUAACAAUAAAAGCCAUAGUACGACCAUCAUACACAGAUUAAACAUUGAGUUCAACAACUUCAACAUCAUCUAAACUAUAAAAAACUUCACAUCUUUACUAGAUAGAUUAUAAGAGAGGUCAUUGCCAUCAUUAUCAGAAGUAAAAAACUGAAUCAAUUUAUCUCACUAAACCAAUUUACUGUUCUGUUGUUCUGACGUCGCUGAAUAAACUAACACUUCAAGGUAGAGAAUACAAUUAUUGUACCUUGGAUUAUUGAGGAAAGAGAUAAAGAGGUUGAAAAACCCUUUGGUUAAGCACGCAAUAUCUUCUAUGCAUAAAAAGGGUACAAAAGUGGCACUGCCUUAUAAUUUAAAUGUUGGUGUUGCACAUAUCCAAAAUAGGAAAAGAUUGUAUUAAUGUUCCCACACUCUUAUUUAAGUAAAAAAAAAUUCAGUUAUCUAUUUCUUUUCUUCCGAAUGUUAAAUUAAUGAACGAUACCUAAGAGAUAUAAUUCUCAUAUGGUGUACUAUCGUAGUGAUAUUAUGGAAAAAUCUAAAAUAUGAAUUUAAAAUAAUCAAUCCUACUUCUCCUCCUAUUUCUACAGCUCUGAUGCUUUAUAGGAGGUUUUGCAAUUUUUUGUGAACAUUAGUCGUAUAGGAUUGAGCCCUCUUGUGAACUUGAUUCAUAAUGGCUUGGAGACCACUUGAGAUUCUGUUUAUUUUGGAACUACACUAGGAAGUACUCGUCAUGCAACAGAAAGACCAUAAAAAGGGAAAAGAAACUUCAACUUAUUUAUUUUGUUGCAAUAUGGGCUGAAUAUCAUCUAUCAAAGACUUUAUGUGUUUCAUCCCACUUGAAGUACAUUCAACAACCUUUUUUUUAGAACAAUUCUAACUGAAAGAAGAGUAGGAGAUAGAAAAUUAAAAAAAAAAGAUUUUUCACCCCAUGUGGUAGCCCAAAAAAGUAGAUUUCACUAAAAUAAUAUAUAUUUAAGAAACUGAUUAGCUUCCUUUGAUCAACAACGAAUUGUUUCACAUGGGUAAGCAACAAAGAAUUAGAACAGUGAUGAAUAAAGGUACUGAAAAUAUAGGAGUUAUGUUACUUUAGUUGACUGACACAUCUCCUAUGAGAAGAAGAGAGAUGAGAACGUUGUAAUAAAGAGCUUGUACAACCCAGAAGACAUAAAGGGGUAAUGUAACAUUCAGUCGUGAGCAAGGAGGAAACAUCGUUAGAUGAAAUGAAGGUGAGCUAAAGAGAAAGUUAAAGUUAGCUUUUAUAGCAAGGGGUAAUGAAUGUAAGAUUAGGUUGGGCUUGGGCCAAAACUUUUUUUUUUU
RNAcentral lists this long non-coding RNA (21392 nucleotides) under Solanum lycopersicum (tomato). RNAcentral describes it as "long non-coding RNA (SLYC_LNC001389)". The record is from RNAcentral. Lineage: Eukaryota; Viridiplantae; Streptophyta; Magnoliopsida; Solanales; Solanaceae.